UAUAUUUUAAUGUAAGAAAGCAUGAAAGUUUUUGAGACUUUAAGUGAUAAAAAAAUUAUCAAAUAUAA
RNAcentral lists this transfer RNA (68 nucleotides) under Dolichovespula xanthicincta. RNAcentral's name for it is "tRNA-Gln". The record is from RNAcentral. Lineage: Eukaryota; Metazoa; Arthropoda; Insecta; Hymenoptera; Vespidae.